CCCCCCCCCAAAGUCCCUUAACCUUGGGCCUCAGUGCCCUUAUUUCAAAAAUAAGUGUGGUUACCUAGGUCGCCUAAAUUCCUUUUCAUCUCCAAGUCUUUGAAUCGAACUAAAGCAGCCUUUAUUGUUAAAGCAGCCCAAACCUGUGAUAUUAUCACACACAACAUUUGUAAUAGCAGGCUUUAUGGGAGAAAUGUUUUUUUUUCAUCGUGUAACAGUUUUAACUUCCUCAAGUAUCUGCAAAAAGUACAUUUUUUUCGACUUGCAAGAGAAAAACGAGUGCCUCUUGUGGAGCUAUUCCUCUAAAGUCAAUGUUGCAGGUUGCUGUCAAGUGAAGCCAGAUGCUAUUUACUUAGGCCUGUUUGGCUCCCAGGUUGCGCUGCCUCCUGGGGCUUUGCUGGUGGAAGGUAAGAACCAGAAGAGGUUUCAGACACAGUCCUUCUCCCAGGGCCUUGUGUCACAUGUCUCACUCGUUUCCGUCCAAGAACAUUUUCCUUUUUUGCAGCUAAGGGGUGCAUCGGGUUUCUCCAACUCAAGCCAGCAUUUUGGCUGACAAACUUGAAAGUCAGAGCCACGACUUUCUUCUUCUCCCUUUCCCAAGUCUCUGCAGUAACUCCGCCCCUUCUCAGGUUCAGUCGGCUUCUCACCUCUCGCUACCGUCUCCUCUUCCCCCUUCCUCCCACCUUCCCGACUGCUGUGAAGACCCAGACAAGUUAAAGCUUUAAAUCGGAGCCAUGCCCUGGUGGAUGCUACUGCGCAUGCUCAGAGAGCCGGCUUCUGGGUCACGCCGGAUUUCUCCGCGGUGGCCGUGGCGGCGCUGUGCGCGCUCCCGGACAUAACACGUGCGCGCGCGCGAGGCGAGCCUCUGAGCGCGCUCCCGAGUAUAGUGGAGGGGCGGGGGGGAGUGGAUGUGGCGGUGCUGCGUGCUCCCGGGCACAGUGACGGGGGCGGGGGCGCGCGCUCGGGGCGCGACGCCGCGGACGAGGGGACGGUCGGAGCUCGCUCCCGCGGAAGGAGGUGUGGGGUUGGACCCAGGCGGCGUGCGGUUCGGGGCUGAGGGUUGGGGUGGGGGGGAAGGGGGCCCGGGAGUCUGCGGUCUCCCCUGCUCGUGGGUCCGCGCGGCUGCAGGCGGCCUGCACCGCUCGGGGGCCGACGCCGGGGCGGCUGCCUCUGGGAGAUGGCAAUCCUCGGCUCCGAGGGGUGAGGAGACCCGCCGCCGGCUGCUGAAGGAAGAGAAGGAGGCGCCGCCGCCGCCGCCACCUCUUGGGCAGGCAGGCGGACGGGCGAGGCUGGGCUAA
RNAcentral lists this long non-coding RNA (1298 nucleotides) under Phascolarctos cinereus (koala). Its description in RNAcentral is "lncRNA (ENSPCIG00000030949.1)". The record is from RNAcentral. Lineage: Eukaryota; Metazoa; Chordata; Mammalia; Diprotodontia; Phascolarctidae.